AGUGAACGCUGGCGGUAGGCCUAACACAUGCAAGUCGAACGGCAGCACAGUAAGAGCUUGCUCUUACGGGUGGCGAGUGGCGGACGGGUGAGGAAUACAUCGGAAUCUACUUUUUCGUGGGGGAUAACGUAGGGAAACUUACGCUAAUACCGCAUACGACCUACGGGUGAAAGCAGGGGAUCUUCGGACCUUGCGCGGAUGAAUGAGCCGAUGUCGGGUUAGCUAGUUGGCGGGGUAAAGGCCCACCAAGGCGAGGAUCCGUAGCUGGUCUGAGAGGAUGGUCAGCCACACUGGAACUGAGACACGGUCCAGACUCCUACGGGAGGCAGCAGUGGGGAAUAUUGGACAAUGGGCGCAAGCCUUAUCCAGCCAUACCGCGUGGGUGAAGAAGGCCUUCGGGUUGUAAAGCCCUUUUGUUGGGAAAGAAAAGCAGCAGGUUAAUACCCCGCUGUUCUGACGGUACCCAAAGAAUAAGCACCGGCUAACUUCGUG
RNAcentral lists this ribosomal RNA (492 nucleotides) under uncultured bacterium. RNAcentral describes it as "partial 16S ribosomal RNA". It matches the Rfam family "Bacterial small subunit ribosomal RNA", at positions 29 to 507 of the family's 1533-position model. The record is from RNAcentral.